UGUCUAUUGUAUGAUUAUAAUGAUUUCUUAGAUAGAAAAUCGGUAUCGGUAAAACCGGUUUUGGCAGGUCAGACCCCCUCAAAAACCGGAAAUCGGUAUCGGCCAAGAAUUUUGCAAUCGGUGCAUCUCUAGACAGAGACAUACGAGGAGACAGGAG
Long non-coding RNA from Melanotaenia boesemani (Boeseman's rainbowfish), 157 nucleotides. RefSeq lists it as uncharacterized. Lineage: Eukaryota; Metazoa; Chordata; Actinopteri; Atheriniformes; Melanotaeniidae. The transcript has 3 exons. The record is from RefSeq and is a predicted model, not a curated record.